GUUUCCUUAAAAAUAGGCGUUCCAAAUGGCAUCCCCUUAUUUGCUCUCUUGCCCAGAUCAAUCUGAACGGAGAUACUAGCUUGCGACAAAUCCAAUCCAGUACUCUGCAAAGCUUGAGCCAAGCUGUUCAUAAACCCUUCUGAAUAAACACUUGAAACGCUUAUUGUCCCCCCUUCAAUAGCCAUCUCUUCCGGUUGAUUUGAUGCAUUGUUGGUGAUGGGACACUCAGUUGUCUGUGCAUCAGAAAUUGGAAUGUGGAGAGAUUGAUCAAGAACGCCAUCACUACGGAUAGAAGCAUGUAAAUUUCCUUCCAGAGACAUGGGAAGUGGAACUUUAUUUGUUAUGUCAGCAUCCUGUAGAAUAUCUCUGCCUAAGUGGGAGUCGAGAGGAUUUUGUGAGCUUGCAAGCAUGGCUGG
This 416-nucleotide unclassified non-coding RNA is filed under the name Hevea brasiliensis (rubber tree). Lineage: Eukaryota; Viridiplantae; Streptophyta; Magnoliopsida; Malpighiales; Euphorbiaceae. The record is from RNAcentral.